ACACCCGUCUACCUUCGGUGGGGUGACUGCAGCUGCCCAGCCACUGGCUCUUACCAGUGUGGCCUUGGCAUUCACACUUUGGCCACCAUAAUUUUGUCUCUGCAGUGGGCCUUGCACAAGGCUGGGAGGAAACAGCCUCUGUAGAAAUCAAGGUUUCCUGCUCUGUGAGGGCUGAUGCGGUGCCAUGGAGAUACUUCCUGUGACUUUGCCAGGCAAACUGGAGGCCAGGGGAAAGAUCGGGAGUGUGAAGUCCUGACUUCUCAGCUACUCAGAAACCCCUCUAAGCCUCGAUGUUUUCAUCUGAAAAAUGACAGUGGCAAACUGCUUAUAGAGGGACUGUCAGGAUCAAACGAGAUAUGGUUAUGAAGGCGCAUUGAAAACGGUGCCACCAUGGACACACGAGUUGCUAUUUCUGCCUGCCACCUCCACAGACCCCAGUUCACCACCAGCUGCAAUCUCUACAAGUGGCCCUGCCUUCCUGAAAACCCCAAACCAAGACUUGCCUCCCUGGGCAUCUGAGUCCACCCCAUCCUCUCUCCUCGGGCUUACUUACUCAACCUACACCACAGGGAAAUGCACCAGUUGCUUAAGAGGUGUGGAAAGUUUCCUCCAGUUUUUUCCAUGGUUUGUGUGCUUGUCUUACCUGUCCCGCCUCCUUCCUAGCACCGUGGGAGUAUAAGCUGGCUCCUCUGCAAUGGAUCCGUGGCCAGUACCUCUGUUCCCUCACAGCACAGGAUAACAAUAAGUGUGCCAAAUGGAAGUGUGCGUGUGGGAGAGGGCACACAGCCAGAUGGCUCCUUGGGGCAAAGCCUUAUUUCUACCACAUAGGACUUUGUAGACAAUCACUCUCUGGCUAUAGAGGGGUUUUGUGCUCAUUUUCUGUUGUGAAUCAAGCUAAUUUUGGAUUCACUGGGAUACAAUAGUGAACUGAAAGGCAGCUGCCUGCAGGAGGAGCUCAGAGAACCAAGCAGAGCCAAGCCCUGGGAAGCCUUUUAGAGGAAGAUUUGCAGAGAAGGAGUGUGACAGUCAUAAGUGUCCCACGCUCUCAGUCCUCAGCAGGCUGUCCCUCCCAGUCCCAGGUUCACCUUGCAGAGGUGUGGUGGAGAACAAGCGUGCCCAGCAGCUUCCCGUCUGAAAGCCAACUGGCACAGCCCACCUCCAGUGGGCCACCCAUGUUUCUGGGGCCAAUGAGCCUCUGAGCUGGGAGGUCCUGGCCAAAGAAAUGCCCUCCUGCCUCAGAGAACAGAAAGUUCCAGAAGAUCCAGGGUAGCUUUAUUCCUGACUUAGCAAGCAGACCUAGAAGUGGGAUGGAGAAGGGCUUUUGAAUCUCCCUCCAAAGGUCCAGAGAAAUCUCCUUGGAAAUUUGAUUGAUUAUU
RNAcentral lists this long non-coding RNA (1376 nucleotides) under Homo sapiens (human). Its description in RNAcentral is "non-protein coding LINC01136:13". Lineage: Eukaryota; Metazoa; Chordata; Mammalia; Primates; Hominidae. The record is from RNAcentral.